Molecule: ribosomal RNA, 632 nt
Filed under: Microbacterium sp. So1Pt_6
Lineage: Bacteria; Bacillati; Actinomycetota; Actinomycetes; Micrococcales; Microbacteriaceae
Description: bacterial SSU rRNA
Rfam family: Bacterial small subunit ribosomal RNA
Source: RNAcentral
GCCUGAUGCAGCAACGCCGCGUGAGGGACGACGGCCUAAGGGUUGUAAACCUCUUUUAGCAAGGAAGAAGCGAAAGUGACGGUACUUGCAGAAAAAGCGCCGGCUAACUACGUGCCAGCAGCCGCGGUAAUACGUAGGGCGCAAGCGUUAUCCGGAAUUAUUGGGCGUAAAGAGCUCGUAGGCGGUUUGUCGCGUCUGCUGUGAAAACUGGGGGCUCAACCCCCAGCCUGCAGUGGGUACGGGCAGACUAGAGUGCGGUAGGGGAGAUUGGAAUUCCUGGUGUAGCGGUGGAAUGCGCAGAUAUCAGGAGGAACACCGAUGGCGAAGGCAGAUCUCUGGGCCGUAACUGACGCUGAGGAGCGAAAGGGUGGGGAGCAAACAGGCUUAGAUACCCUGGUAGUCCACCCCGUAAACGUUGGGAACUAGUUGUGGGGUCCAUUCCACGGAUUCCGUGACGCAGCUAACGCAUUAAGUUCCCCGCCUGGGGAGUACGGCCGCAAGGCUAAAACUCAAAGGAAUUGACGGGGACCCGCACAAGCGGCGGAGCAUGCGGAUUAAUUCGAUGCAACGCGAAGAACCUUACCAAGGCUUGACAUAUACGAGAACGGGCCAGAAAUGGUCAACUCUUUGGA